AUGACAAGAGACAACCUGAGGAAAAGGCACAUCAUUCAACCUCUGGAUUGCGUCUUUUGCUCUGAACAGGAAACUAACACUCACUUGUUUUUUGAAUGUAUCGUAGCAAAAAAUAUUUGGUCGUUUGUGGCUGACCACUUUCAGGUCCGGAUGGGAAUAGACUAUGAAUCUGUAGCUAGAUUUUGGGUAUCUAAUAGAAAGAAUUCUGCUCUAAAUAUAGUUUCAUCGGCUGUCCUCUGAUGUUUGUGGAAGUAUAGGAACUCUAUUAUCUUUAACAACACCGUUUGGACAUCGAUCUUGCAGGUUUGGAGGCUGAUCCUCAGAACCCUCUAA
RNAcentral lists this ribosomal RNA (333 nucleotides) under Triticum aestivum (bread wheat). Its description in RNAcentral is "partial small subunit ribosomal RNA". Lineage: Eukaryota; Viridiplantae; Streptophyta; Magnoliopsida; Poales; Poaceae. The record is from RNAcentral.